RNAcentral lists this transfer RNA (74 nucleotides) under Mindarus keteleerifoliae. RNAcentral describes it as "tRNA-Glu". The record is from RNAcentral. Lineage: Eukaryota; Metazoa; Arthropoda; Insecta; Hemiptera; Mindaridae.
UAUUUAUUAGUUUAAAAAAAAACCUUAUAUUUUCCAAUAUAAAUAAAAAAUUAAUUUAAAUUAAUUAUAAAUAA